This 858-nucleotide ribosomal RNA is filed under the name uncultured Neocallimastigales. RNAcentral describes it as "partial large subunit ribosomal RNA". It matches the Rfam family "Eukaryotic large subunit ribosomal RNA", at positions 24 to 640 of the family's 3401-position model. Lineage: Eukaryota; Fungi; Neocallimastigomycota; Neocallimastigomycetes; Neocallimastigales. The record is from RNAcentral.
UAUGUGAUCGUCUCUCGCAUAUCAAUAAGCGGAGGAAAAGAAACUAACAAGGAUUCCCCUAGUAACGGCGAGUGAAGCGGGAAGAGCUCAAAUUUGAAAUCUUAAAGGGUUUCCCUUUACGAAUUGUAGUUUAAAGAAGUGUUUUCUGUUGAGGUUUUGGUAAAAGUUCUUUGGAAUAGGACAUCAUAGAGGGUGAGAAUCCCGUAUUUGACCUUUACUUUCAACUUUGUGAUACACUUUCAAAGAGUCGGAUUGUUUGGGAAUGCAGUCCAAAAUGGGUGGUAAAUUUCAUCUAAAGCUAAAUAUUGGCGAGAGACCGAUAGCGAACAAGUACCGUGAGGGAAAGAUGAAAAGAACUUUGAAACGAGAGUUAAACAGUACGUGAAAUUGUCAAAAGGGAAGCGUUUGACACCAGUGUUGUUUUUCUGAAAAUCAAUUAAAGAACUGUUUAUGCUAAGUUGUUUAGACUUUAUCAGCUAACUGUUUAGUUUUGAGCUUUUCUUUAAUGCACUUUUCAGUUAACAAGUCAACAUCAAUUUCUUUUGCUGUAAAAAAGCUUGAGGAAGGUGGCUUGAGAUUCGUCUUAAGUGUUUAUAGCCUCUUGCCUAUGCAGUCGGAGAGAUUGAGGUCUGCAGCGUAGAUCCUUCGGGGCUAAAUGCAUUUGUGCUAAGUUAUAACAUUUUAUAGACAACUUGUUGACUAUGAUUUGUCUUGUAGCUUACUCGCUUAUGUUAUUUUACCUACGCUUAGGAUGUUGACACACGCGCGUGCUCGAUCUAUACAUGACUCUGUGCAUAUCAAUAAGCGGAGGAAAAGUCAACUACCUACGCUUAGGAUGUUGAUAUGCAUGACUGAUAU